This 2227-nucleotide unclassified non-coding RNA is filed under the name Leguminivora glycinivorella. RNAcentral's name for it is "peroxisomal acyl-coenzyme A oxidase 3, transcript variant X1". The record is from RNAcentral. Lineage: Eukaryota; Metazoa; Arthropoda; Insecta; Lepidoptera; Tortricidae.
GAUGUCGGGAGCGGGUGAUGGCGACGCGGAGCUGCGCGCGUUGUUCCCGGCGCCGCCGCGCGGGCCGCUGGCCGCCUUCCGCGAGCAGGCCUCCUUCGACUGGCGCCGCAUGAAGCUCGCCUACGACUCCAUACAGGCUAUACGAGCUAAGGACAAAAUAUGGAAGUUCAUGGAGGAGCACCCGUUGUUCAAGCACUCGGAGGCGACCCCGUCGCUGGACGAGCAGAGACACCUCGCCACCAAGCGCAUGUAUGUCAUCCACAAUGCGGACCUUGUGCCCUUGGAGGAGAUAGCCAUGCACCCGCGGCUGUUCCAGUCGUUCACGGAGGCCAUCUUCAUGUGGGACAGCUCGCUCGCCAUCAAGCUGUCGCUCACCUUCCGCAUGUUCUCCAACACCAUCCGCGGCAGCGGCCGGGACCACCACUUCCCACUCAUUGAGGCGUGCGACGAGGGCAAGAUCGGCGGGUGCUUCGCGCUGACGGAGAUCGCGCACGGCUCCAACGCCAAGGGCAUGCGCACCACGGCCACCUACCUGCCCGACGAGCAGUGCUUCGAGCUGCACUCGCCCGACUUCGAGGCCGCCAAGUGCUGGGUGGGCUCGCUGGGCAAGUGCGCGACGCACGCCAUCGUGUACGCGAUGCUGGUGUCGAAGGGGCAGAGCCACGGGCUGCACGCCUUCGUGGUGCCGGUCCGCGACCCGCGCACGCUGCGCCCGCUCGCCGGCGUCACCCUCGGCGACCUCGGCGAGAAGGUCGGCCUCAACGGCGUCGACAACGGGUUCGUGAUGUUCAACAAGUACAAGCUGCCGCGCUCGGCGGCGCUGGACCGGCUGGGCGGCGUGGACGCGCGCGGCGACUACCGCUCGCCCUUCCGCGACCCCGCCAAGCGCUUCGGCGCCUCGCUCGGGAUACUCUCAGGCGGGCGCGUGCACAUAACGUCGAUCUCGACGAACUACCUGCAGAAGGCGGUGGUGAUCGCGGUGCGCUACUCGGCCGCGCGCCGCCAGUUCGCCGCGCCCGGCGCCGCCGCCGAGACGCCCGUGCUGCUCUACCAGCAGCAGCAAGUGCGGCUGCUGCCGUACCUGGCGGCCACCUUCGCCAUGCGCGUCUUCUGCAACUGGUUCGGGGAGGAGCACGUGCGCAUGUCCAUCGACAAUAUGAUGGGGUCCUCGGACGCGGAGCUGGCGGCGCGCGGCGUGGAGCUGCACGCGCUGUCGUCGGCCGCCAAGCCGCUGAGCGGCUGGACGGCGCGCGACGGCAUCCAGAACUGCCGCGAGUGCUGCGGCGGACACGGCUACCUUAAAGCGGCCGGCAUCGGCGAGCUGCGCAACGACAACGACGCGAACUGCACGUACGAGGGCGAGAACAGCAUGCUGCUGCAGCAGGCCAGCAACUGGCUGCUCGGCGUGUGGGCGCGCCGCCACCAGCCCGCCUUCGCCGACACGCCGCUCGGCUCCGUGCACUUCCUCGCGCGAGCGACGUCGCUGCUCGCGGAGACGUGCGCCGCCGACACCAAGGAGGACAUCGUGCAACCUGCCACCGUGGUGCGCGCGUACGAGUGGCUGACGACGUACAUGCUGCGGCUGACGGCCGACAAGGUGUCGCGCCUGCGGAGCGAGGGCCGCAGCGACUACGACGUGCGGAACGACUCGCAGGCCUACACCGCCGUCACGCUGGCCGUCGUCUACGGGGAGCACUUCAUGUUGAGCCACUUGUACAAGACGGCGCUGGCGCUCCCGGACGCGGCGUGCCGCGGCGUGCUGCUGCGGCUGGCGGCGCUGUACGGCGCCUUCAUGCUCGAGCGCCACAUGGCCACGCUCUACAUUGGCGGGUUCUUCUCCGGUGAGCAAGGGCUGCUGCUGCGCGAGGGCAUCGUGUGGCUGUGCGCGGCGCUGGCGGCCGAGGCGGUGUCGCUGGCGGACACGCUGGCGCCCCCCGACUGGUGUCUCAACUCCGUGCUCGGCUACGCUGACGGCGAGGUGUACAAGCACAUCCAGGACGGCAUCCUCACGUACCCCGGCGCGCUGGAGCGCCCGCGCUGGUGGCGCGACGUCGUGCACUGGGACACCUACGUGCCCGCCAAGCUGUAGGCACACACACACACACACACACGCACUCUACACAGCUGAUCGACUAUACUCAGGCGUUUCAGAUUCAGACUCUUCACUAUCACAAUUAAUAGUUAUUUGUUAUACAAGGGGGCAAAGUUGUAUUUUAACGCCGAGUGU